GACGAACGCUGGCGGCGUGCUUAACACAUGCAAGUCGAACGGAAAGGCCCUGCUUUUGUGGGGUGCUCGAGUGGCGAACGGGUGAGUAACACGUGAGUAACCUGCCCUUGACUUUGGGAUAACUUCAGGAAACUGGGGCUAAUACCGGAUAGGAGCUCCUGCUGCAUGGGGGGGGUUGGAAAGUUUCGGCGGUUGGGGAUGGACUCGCGGCCUAUCAGCUUGUUGGUGGGGUAGUGGCUUACCAAGGCUUUGACGGGUAGCCGGCCUGAGAGGGUGACCGGCCACAUUGGGACUGAGAUACGGCCCAGACUCCUACGGGAGGCAGCAGUGGGGAAUAUUGCACAAUGGGCGGAAGCCUGAUGCAGCAACGCCGCGUGCGGGAUGACGGCCUUCGGGUUGUAAACCGCUUUCGCCUGUGACGAAGCGUGAGUGACGGUAAUGGGUAAAGAAGCACCGGCUAACUACGUG
This 468-nucleotide ribosomal RNA is filed under the name uncultured bacterium. RNAcentral's name for it is "partial 16S ribosomal RNA". It matches the Rfam family "Bacterial small subunit ribosomal RNA", at positions 28 to 507 of the family's 1533-position model. The record is from RNAcentral.